CUUCAUCCGCUGCAACCACCGCCGUCGUCCUCCUUCGAUGAUAACUCUGGAAAGUGGUGUAGCAUCUUUAGUUUUCUUAACGGUAAAGAUAACGGGAAUAGACACAACCGGCAUUCUUCAGCGGACUUCCGUUAUGAUCCGUUGAGUUAUUCGUUGAACUUUUAAGAUAAAGCAAACCUCACCAACUUCUCUUCUAGACUUCCUCUGUCACCGGUGAUGGUGACGAAGCCAACGAUGGUGAAGGUGAAGCAUGUGGGUAUUGCUGAUGUGGUUGGUUUAUGAGUUGUAAUGGUGGGUGGUUUUGUUUGUUUUCGUUUUUUGUUAUUUUCAAUUAUUACCUCUUUAUGUUUUUUUUAAUCGUUUUUUACUUUUAUGCAGAUAUGUCAUUUUUUACUUGUGCCUAUGUUAUCAUCUAAAAUAGGAACUAUAGAAUUUCCAAUGAAAA
This 445-nucleotide long non-coding RNA is filed under the name Capsicum annuum. RNAcentral describes it as "long non-coding RNA (CANN_LNC012050)". The record is from RNAcentral. Lineage: Eukaryota; Viridiplantae; Streptophyta; Magnoliopsida; Solanales; Solanaceae.